GACGAACGCUGGCGGCGUGCUUAACACAUGCAAGUCGAACGAAGAGCGAUGGAAGCUUGCUUCUAUCAAUCUUAGUGGCGAACGGGUGAGUAACGCGUAAUCAACCUGCCCUUCAGAGGGGGACAACAGUUGGAAACGACUGCUAAUACCGCAUACGAUCUGACCUCGGCAUCGAGGAUGGAUGAAAGGUGGCCUCUAUUUAUAAGCUAUCACUGAAGGAGGGGAUUGCGUCUGAUUAGCUAGUUGGAGGGGUUACGGCCCACCAAGGCGAUGAUCAGUAGCCGGUCUGAGAGGAUGAACGGCCACAUUGGGACUGAGACACGGCCCAGACUCCUACGGGAGGCAGCAGUGGGGAAUCUUCCGCAAUGGACGAAAGUCUGACGGAGCAACGCCGCGUGAGUGAUGACGGCCUUCGGGUUGUAAAGCUCUGUUAAUCGGGACGAAAGGCCUUCUUGCGAAUAGUUAGAAGGAUUGACGGUACCGGAAUA
Molecule: ribosomal RNA, 488 nt
Filed under: Veillonella dispar
Lineage: Bacteria; Bacillati; Bacillota; Negativicutes; Veillonellales; Veillonellaceae
Description: bacterial SSU rRNA
Rfam family: Bacterial small subunit ribosomal RNA
Source: RNAcentral